GAUGAACGCUAGCUACAGGCUUAACACAUGCAAGUCGAGGGGAAACGAUAGAGAAAGCUUGCUUUUUCUAGGCGUCGACCGGCGCACGGGUGAGUAACGCGUAUCCAACCUGCCCAUCACUUGGGGAUAACCUUGCGAAAGUAAGACUAAUACCCAAUGAUAUCUCUAGAAGACAUCUGAAGGAGAUUAAAGAUUUAUCGGUGAUGGAUGGGGAUGCGUCUGAUUAGCUUGUUGGCGGGGUAACGGCCCACCAAGGCGACGAUCAGUAGGGGUUCUGAGAGGAAGGUCCCCCACAUUGGAACUGAGACACGGUCCAAACUCCUACGGGAGGCAGCAGUGAGGAAUAUUGGUCAAUGGGCGAGAGCCUGAACCAGCCAAGUAGCGUGCAGGAUGACGGCCCUAUGGGUUGUAAACUGCUUUUAUAAGGGAAUAAAGUGAGUCUCGUGAGGCUUUUUGCAUGUACCUUAUGGAUAAGGACCGGCUAAUUCCGUGCCAGCAGCCGCCACGG
RNAcentral lists this ribosomal RNA (508 nucleotides) under uncultured bacterium. Its description in RNAcentral is "partial 16S ribosomal RNA". It matches the Rfam family "Bacterial small subunit ribosomal RNA", at positions 28 to 528 of the family's 1533-position model. The record is from RNAcentral.